UGGGGACGCAGAGCUGGGGGAAGCUGGCCGGGGGGGGGGGGGACAAGGACAGGGUGAGGGACAGAGACAGGUCAGAGAUGCAGGGGUGAGGACACAGGGACAGGGAAAGGGACGCAAGGGUCGGUCAGACACGCGAGGGAUGCAGAAACGGGGGCGGUGGGGGCACGGCAGGGGACCCAGGUAGGUGUCAGAGGUGUGGGAAGGGGGGUGCGGAGGUGGGGACGCGGGGACAAGGCAGGGGACACGGGGACAGGCCGGGGACGCAGGGACAAGGCUGCGGAGAUGGGGGCAGAGCGGGGGGCACUGGGAGGCAGCGGGGGGCACCGGGACGCCGCGGCUCUGCCCCCUCUCACCCCCUCGCCGCCCCACGGCAGAGCUGAUCCAGACGGAGAUCCACCACGUGCGCACGCUGAAGAUCAUGGGCAGCGUGUUCCGCAGGGCCAUGCUGGAGGAGCUGCAGCUGGACCCGGGCACGGUGCAGAAAAUCUUCCCCUGCGUGGACGAGCUCAGCCAGAUCCACGAGCGCUUCCUGGCGCAGCUCCUGGAGCGCCGCCGCGACUCGCUGGCCCAGGACAGCAACAAGAACUUCGUCAUCAACCGCCUGGGGGACAUCCUCGUGGGCCAGUUCUCGGGCAGCAGCGCGGAGCAGCUGAAGAAAGCCUACUCGGAGUUCUGCAGCAGGCACACCAAGGCGGUGAAGGAGUACAAGGACCUGCUCGCCCGCGACAAGCGCUUCCAGCACUUCGUCCGGAGGAUGGCACGGUCCCCGCUGCUCCGGCGCCACGGGGUGCCCGAGUGCAUCCUGCUGGUCACGCAGAGGAUUACCAAGUACCCGGUGCUCAUCGAGCGCAUCCUGAAAAAC
Molecule: long non-coding RNA, 862 nt
Filed under: Anser cygnoides (Swan goose)
Lineage: Eukaryota; Metazoa; Chordata; Aves; Anseriformes; Anatidae
Description: lncRNA (ENSACDG00005002283.1)
Source: RNAcentral